AUUGAACGCUGGCGGCAGGCCUAACACAUGCAAGUCGAGCGGCUGAACGGUGCGUGCUCCUUGUUUCAGCUGCCGACUGGCGGGUGAUUCCUAGGAAUCUCCCUGUUUAUUUGGUCUAGCGUCCGAAAACAGGGACUCAUACCGCAAUCGCCCAUAGGGCCAACGUGUGGAAUCAUCGGACCUCACGCUCUUAGAUGAUCCUAUGUCGGAUUAGCUAGUUGGCUGGGUAAAGGCCUACCAAGGCGACGAUCCGUAACUGGUCUGAGAGGAUGAUCAGUCACACUGGAACUGAGACACGGUCCAGACUCCUACGGGAGGCAGCAGUGGGGAAUAUUGGACAAUGGGCGAAAGCCUGAUCCAGCCAUGCCGCGUGUGUGAAGAAGGUCUUCGGAUUGUAAAGCACUUUAAGUUGGGAGGAAGGGCAGUAGGUUAAUACCUUGCUGUUUUGACGUUACCAAAAGAAUAAGCACCGGCUAACUUCGUG
RNAcentral lists this ribosomal RNA (484 nucleotides) under uncultured bacterium. Its description in RNAcentral is "partial 16S ribosomal RNA". It matches the Rfam family "Bacterial small subunit ribosomal RNA", at positions 30 to 507 of the family's 1533-position model. The record is from RNAcentral.